Long non-coding RNA from Setaria italica (foxtail millet), 618 nucleotides. RefSeq lists it as uncharacterized. NCBI's taxonomy places the organism in Eukaryota, Viridiplantae, Streptophyta, Magnoliopsida, Poales, Poaceae. The record is from RefSeq and is a predicted model, not a curated record. The transcript has 2 exons.
CCUCUCUCUCUCUCUCUCUCUCUCAUCUGAUUCUUAUCUUCUUCCUGCUCUUCUUCCUCCAUUAGAGGGUAGUGGUGCACCACAAGUUGGUGAAGCUGCCAGCAUGAUCUGAUGGUAUGAUGUAUUUACCUCUCUUUGCCUGAUUGUCAUGGACGAAUUCAGGAUGAGGGGGAAAGAGGAAUAUGAGUCAGGUCAUGCUGUAGUUUCAUCUGCUGGUGGGAGCACAUCGAAAACCCUACCUGAGAAUUCCAUCGAUGCAUCGAAACAUCGGUGGGUGUCUCAUCAGAUCAGAGACCGAUCGACAUGCAGUGCCUGAUUUCCACUAGUUCAUUAGUAGCAUGGUGGAUGCACAUGUACUCAUGAUGGCCAGGUUCAGGUUCGGAGUCAUGUGCGGUGGGAAAAAAAAAACCAGGAACGGGAGGGACGAUGCAGAGAACCAGAAACUUACCCUGUAACUCUUUUGUGAUUCAGGCGCAUAGUGAGGCUGACAUGUUGCAUGCGUUUGCCACAAUAGGAAGGAGUCCCUUCUUUCACGUUAUCUAGCAUUAUGGAUUGGCUUAUACUUUUCCUACACAAUAAGAGACUAUCAAUGAUGAUCGACUGAGAACUUCCAUUGCA